UCAGAAAGAAGAGCCAAUUUUCUCCCACCUGCAGCUCCCAAAGCCACCGUUCUCAUAAACUACUUUCUG
Molecule: transfer RNA, 69 nt
Filed under: Henricia tumida (blood star)
Lineage: Eukaryota; Metazoa; Echinodermata; Asteroidea; Spinulosida; Echinasteridae
Description: tRNA-Pro
Source: RNAcentral